AUUCCAUUGUAUGCAUAAUAUAUCUGUCUUUAUCCACUCACAUAUUUAAGUGCCUUAAGGUCGUUUGCAUGUCUUUGCUACUGUACAUUGUGCUACUAUAAACACUGUUUUGCGUAUCACUUUUCUGAUGGGAGUUUUCAUCUUAAUGGAUAUAUGCCCAGUAGUGUUAUUUUUGGAUCAUAUAGUAACUGUAUUUUUAGAGUAUUAAAAAACUCUAUACAAGGGAAGGAGAUAAUGGGCAGGUGGUUCAAAAGGAAGGAAUAUAUGUAUACAUAUGGCUGAUUCAUGUUGAGGUUUGAAAGAAAGCAACA
Molecule: small RNA, 311 nt
Filed under: Bos taurus (domestic cattle)
Lineage: Eukaryota; Metazoa; Chordata; Mammalia; Artiodactyla; Bovidae
Source: RNAcentral